GAGUCGGCCAGGCAGUCGCUGCAUCAUAUGACAGAUGUGGAGGAAAGUCCGGGCUUCACAGGGCAGGGUGCCAGGUAACCCCUGGGCGGUUGGGCGGAAACGCCCCACCGACGGCCAGUGCAGCAGAAAAUAUACCGCCGAUGGCCUUUGGGCACAGGUAAGGUUGAAAUGGUGCGGUAAGAGCGCACCGCGUCUGGGGCAACCCGGGCGGCACGGUAAACCCCACUCGAAGCAAGGCCAAAUAGGGAUGCCACAGCGUGGCCCGCGCUGCAUCCGGGUAGGCCGCUACAGGUGGUUGGUGACAACCAUCGCAGAUGAAUGACUGUCCACGACAGAACCCGGCUUAUCGGCCGGCUCU
RNAcentral lists this RNase P RNA (358 nucleotides) under uncultured Wenzhouxiangella sp. RNAcentral describes it as "Bacterial RNase P class A". It matches the Rfam family "Bacterial RNase P class A". Rfam says of the family: Ribonuclease P (RNase P) is a ubiquitous endoribonuclease, found in archaea, bacteria and eukarya as well as chloroplasts and mitochondria. Its best characterised activity is the generation of mature 5'-ends of tRNAs by cleaving the 5'-leader elements of precursor-tRNAs. The record is from RNAcentral. Lineage: Bacteria; Pseudomonadati; Pseudomonadota; Gammaproteobacteria; Chromatiales; Wenzhouxiangellaceae.